AGAUUCCAGUCUUGCCUCCUGGCCUCUGCCAGCAUGGUUAUUAAGUCUACUUACCAAGUUCAAUCCCAGCAAGAUGUCACGAAGAAGAAUGUCUACCUUCUCAACUUUAAUCUACACUACAUUCAUAUUUCUAAUCUUCGCGUUGUUGUCAACUACGACGUCGUCGGAACUCAUCAACGCCACAACAUCACCGACGCUAUCGGCCGGCGGUGACAACAGACUGUUGGUCCUGCCGUCGUCACCUGACGGCUCGCAGCCCGCCAUUUCUGAAACCGAUGCGAAUCGGUCAGAUUCAAACCCUACAUUCUUGGCAGCAAAACUGCCGGAUAAAGCGACUGUGAGCAACUAUACCGCACCCUCCGUCUACCUGCGAGAGCAAGUCAAUGUGACUGAACGUCGCUGGUUGGUGCCACAGCGACAAAAUGACAGUUAUUUCAAAGCCAGCGGGCGGGAGGGUGACAAGGGACGAGAUACUGGGGUGGGACGCCGACAUUUGCGUAGGCAACCACAGAACUAUGUACAGUAUCAACGUAAAACUAUCAUUAAAAAGCAUGUUCCUGCUGAAAGCGAACCCAAUGACUUUUUUCAUCCAAUAUCAUCUCGAACAGAUUUGUCAAACGAAACCUUCGAAACUUCGACGGAUUCAAACGUCGCCUCGAACUCAACGGCCGGACCUUACGUUGCCAUUUUCAAUUCGUCGUCGUCGCAAGCGCCUUGGCUAUUACUUCCCUUGCCGUCGCCGUCAUCUGUCGGCACGUCUUGUCCCCCUUGUGACCCUACAAGAUGCCCCCAUGAGGGUGGAACCUUCUUACAGUGCCCGACCGAGCUGAGGAUUAAAGACGACUGUGGUUGUUGUGUAGUCUGCCUUCGUGGUCUGCACCAAACGUGUGGAGGGAUGUACCAAAUUAUGGGGAAAUGUCGGGUAGGUUUAGUUUGCCUACCCACCAAGAAUUCAGAUUUUUCAGCUCUGCGUCUUUCCCCUGGAAAUACCGAGAAUCCGCGUCCCUCUUUUGAAGGGACUUGUGAAUUAAUAGAUGACAUCCCCGAUCCAUGUCGCAAUGUUGGCUGUGAUACCACAAUAAAGUACCAGUGUCCAAGGGAUUCUUUACUUGUGGCCAAUGUGAGUGGUGCAACCGGAAGCGCAUCAAUGGAGAUCUGCUGCAAGGAGAGACUCACUUGUCAGUGCAAUAUGGAUGCUUGCAACAUACCAAAGUGCAUUGUUGGAUACCUUCCGCAGCGAGUGCACCAUGGCACCAGAAAGCCAGGAGAUUGCUGUGAUAACUUCGUCUGUAAACGGAACAAAAAUUGUGCGCUGGUGAAAUGCCCUAAGCCAAAAUCUUGUCCCAAGGACAGUGUCAACAUGGUGAAAAAACUCAGCAAGGAUGGCUGUUGUUCUGCUGAAUCUGUGUGCCAGUGCCAGCACAGAGACAGGUGCCCUGCUGUUGAAUGCUCUCAAAACUUUAGAAUUGAGGUGGUGGAGAAGGCGACCCACCAGCCUGGUUCCUGCUGUGAUAAAUUCAAAUGUGUUAACAAGAACAGCUGUUUUUCUCGUGGUCAGUCCUACCAACAUGGAGAUGUGUGGAAACUGGACAACUGCACCAAAUGCAGCUGCAAGAAUGGCCUGACGUAUUGCCAGCGGCAGACAUGCAGAAGCUUGCAGUGUAAAUGGGUAACGAUUCCUGUUGGGGAAUGUUGUCCAGUUUGUAAUGGGAACAUUUGUUUUUCUGAUGGAAGAAUCUACCAACAUCUUGCUGAAUGGAAGCAUGACAACUGCACCAAGUGCAGCUGUAACAAUGGUCUAAUCUCUUGUCAGAAGGAGAAGUGUAAGCCCCUCCAGUGUGGUUGGAUGACCGUCCCGCAAGGACAGUGCUGUCCUGUCUGCAAAGGUUGUAUGAAUGGUGACAGACUUUACAAGAAUUCUGAGACAUGGAAAGAAGAAGGUUGUUUGUCAUGUCGAUGUAAUAAUGGUGUUGUUGAAUGUCAGACAGAAAUGUGUUCCGUUCGCUGUCCGAAUGCCCGAAGUGUCCCAGGACAGUGCUGUCCAGUCUGUGAGAACAAUUGUUCCAUUUCCUGUAAAUAUGGUUACGAAGUGGAUGAAAAGAACCGCCAGACCUGUAAAUGUGCCGCAGCUCCCUCUAAAUGUCCUGCCAUCACUUCAUGUAAGCGCCGCUGUAAGUUCGGCUACAAGCGCACCAGAAAUGGUUGUCUUCGUUGCAAAUGUCACACGUGUCCAUACAUCCAUUGCAACAAGCGUUGUCCUUUCGGCUUUAUAACCAACCGCAGGGGCUGCAAGUUGUGUAUGUGUGUAGAUGAGCCAUAUAACAGAAAGUCGUCAACCCCUCAGAUCCCAACAUCAUCAUCGCUAUGGUUACCGAGCAGCUGCAUGUCCAAUGGAAUACAUUACAAAGAUGGCGACAUGUGGUAUGAUGGUUGCCGUGAGUGCUACUGUAGGGAAGGACAAGAACUUUGCUCAUUAAUUACCUGUAACAUUCCAAAGUGUCACAAUCCAAUAUUUCGACCUGGAGACUGCUGCCCAUCAUGCGCAGGUACUGACACUCUCCCAUCUAAGGGCUCCACUCAACAACGGACAUGUCAUGGUAACAAUGGUAAUGAUUAUGUUGAAGGUGAGGUGUGGCAGUUGGGCAAGUGCACCAGCUGCAUAUGUCAUUAUGGUAUCAUAUUGUGUACGACAGAGAAGUGUCCACCACAGUUAUGUCAUUAUCCAAUACAGCAAUCGGAUCAGUGUUGUCCACUUUGUCCAAACCAAUACCCAGACAAACCAACAGUCAGUAAGCCUCACCUAAAGUAUUGUAGAGGCGAGACAUCAUUCAAACAUGGUGAAGUAUGGCGUGUGAGUCCCUGCCAAAGCUGUAUGUGUCGAAACGGACGGAUCAACUGUUUCUCACAGAAUUGUCCACCCAUGAAAUGUCAACAGGCAUCUUUCCGUAAAGGACAGUGUUGUGCAGUCUGUAUGGAUAAUGAAACGAAAACAGCCAAGUCAAUCAUAUCCAAGGACAUACCCAUCAUACUGACCACAGUUGGUCCUCCAGAGGUCGUCAAAGAAAAGGUCAAUAAAAAACCAACAUCAUAUGUCGCUGGAGUUAGCGCAGAUGAAACCUCCAACAACAACAACAUCAUCAUCAUCACUGUCGUCGUUCCACUGACAGCCAUUAUUAUUGGGUCAAUGAUCUGCGUGUUUUUACUCAAGAAACAUUGCCGUAAACCGAAAUAGCUGACGGAUUGUGGGGGUGUGUGUGGGGAGAGAGAGAAAGAGAGAGCAGGUUUUUUUAUGUGCGUUUUGUGUGUGUGUGUGUGUGUGUGUAUG
RNAcentral lists this unclassified non-coding RNA (3325 nucleotides) under Octopus sinensis (East Asian common octopus). RNAcentral describes it as "cysteine-rich motor neuron 1 protein, transcript variant X2". Lineage: Eukaryota; Metazoa; Mollusca; Cephalopoda; Octopoda; Octopodidae. The record is from RNAcentral.